UACGAGUGGUGCGAGCGUUAUUCGGAAUUAUUGGGCGUACAGGGUGCGCAGGCGGUGUAUUAAGUCAAUUGUCAAAGACCUCGGCCUAACCGAGGAACGGCGGUAGAUACUGGUACGCUAGAGGGUGGAAGAGAGAAGUGGAAUUCUUGGAGUAGCGGUAAAAUGCGUAGAUCUCAAGAGGAACACCGAUGGCGAAGGCAGCUUCUUGGUCCACAUCUGACGCUCAUGCACGAAAGCGUGGGGAGCAAACAGG
This 253-nucleotide ribosomal RNA is filed under the name uncultured bacterium. Its description in RNAcentral is "partial 16S ribosomal RNA". It matches the Rfam family "Bacterial small subunit ribosomal RNA", at positions 524 to 776 of the family's 1533-position model. The record is from RNAcentral.